Long non-coding RNA from Falco peregrinus (peregrine falcon), 750 nucleotides. RefSeq lists it as uncharacterized. The transcript has 3 exons. NCBI's taxonomy places the organism in Eukaryota, Metazoa, Chordata, Aves, Falconiformes, Falconidae. The record is from RefSeq and is a predicted model, not a curated record.
GGCACACGCACAGAUCGGAGCUUUGUAAAACAGGCAGCUAUAGGCAAGGACCCUAACUGCCACGGUAUCGCAUCGGGCAGAACUUGGGGCCAGCUGCAACAGUGACCAGGACACUGGAGGAUUUGGGGUGUGCAAGUGGCUGAAGGUCAGGGGACAACUCCAUGGAGCCCAAAAGUGGGAUCCCAGUGAGGGGAACAAGCACCAGCACAUACAUGGUCAUGACCAGUGAUGGUGGCUGGAGCUUAGGUAAGUGCCUGCACUGUUGGUGAGGAAGCCAAGCCAUUGCCAGGGUCCCAAAGCUCUUGAAUCAUCAGGGGAGAGGAUAGAAACCCGCUCCAAAAGUAUUUGUGAUGCUGAGUCUGGCACUCUAGGAAGGAAUGAUGGAGCUGCAAGCCUAGAUGUUCACAGGUCCUCUUCUUCUCCAGAGCUUUGCACUGAUCCUGAUCUUUCUUCUUUCCCCUCCCUGUCUAGGGAGGGAAGGGAUGGGGAGGAGAUGGUGAAGUCCUCCUGCUGCCUUCCCUCUCAGCACCAAUCCUCAAGAUUCACUGUUGCUCCAGCUCCCUUUCCUCCCUUCCCCCACACACUCUCCCUGUGUCCAUUUCCCCAACAGGCACAUUCUUGCAGGGAUCACAGGAGCUUUACAGAUCACUCUUGGCUGGAGUAUGGAGGGACACCAUCACCACCCUCCUACGGCAAGGCCAAAAGCUGGUAGAGAUCCAGGAACCGGAGGCUGAGAACCAGUAGUCAGAA